CCUACGGGAGGCAGCAGUGGGGAAUCUUGCGCAAUGGGCGAAAGCCUGACGCAGCAACGCCGCGUGAGGGACGAAGGUUUUCUGAAUUGUAAACCUCUUUCAGCAGGGAAGAUAAUGACGGUACCUGCAGAAGAAGCACCGGCUAACUACGUGCCAGCAGCCGCGGUGAUACGUAGGGUGCAAGCGUUGUCCGGAUUUAUUGGGCGUAAAGAGCUCGUAGGCGGUUUGGUAAGUCGGUUGUGAAAUCCCCAGGCUCAACCUGGGGCCUGCAUUCGAUACUGCCAUGACUAGAGUUUGGUAGGGGACCACGGAAUUCCUGGUGUAGCGGUGGAAUGCGCAGAUAUCAGGAGGAACACCAGUAGCGAAGGCGGUGGUCUGGGCCAAUACUGACGCUGAGGAGCGAAAGCGUGGGGAGCAAACAGGAUUAGAUACCCUGGUAGUCCACGCCGUAAACGGUGGGCACUAGGUGUGGGGACUAUUCAACGGUUUCCGCGCCGACGCUAACGCAUUAAGUGCCCCGCCUGGGGAGUCGGCCGCAAGGCUAAACUCAAAUGAAUUGACGGCUGGAGACGNGCGAGACGACGACGAGGGAGAGG
RNAcentral lists this ribosomal RNA (596 nucleotides) under uncultured bacterium. Its description in RNAcentral is "bacterial SSU rRNA". It matches the Rfam family "Bacterial small subunit ribosomal RNA", at positions 338 to 947 of the family's 1533-position model. The record is from RNAcentral.